AUUGAACGCUGGCGGCAUGCCUUACACAUGCAAGUCGAACGGUAACAGGUCUUCGGAUGCUGACGAGUGGCGAACGGGUGAGUAAUACAUCGGAACGUGCCCGAUCGUGGGGGAUAACGAGGCGAAAGCUUUGCUAAUACCGCAUACGAUCUACGGAUGAAAGCGGGGGAUCUUCGGACCUCGCGCGGGCGGAGCGGCCGAUGGCAGAUUAGGUAGUUGGUGGGAUAAAAGCUUACCAAGCCGACGAUCUGUAGCUGGUCUGAGAGGAUGAUCAGCCACACUGGGACUGAGACACGGCCCAGACUCCUACGGGAGGCAGCAGUGGGGAAUUUUGGACAAUGGGCGAAAGCCUGAUCCAGCCAUGUCGCGUGCAGGAUGAAGGCCUUCGGGUUGUAAAAUGCUUUUGUACGGAACGAAAAGCCUCUUUCUAAUAAAGAGGGGUCAUGACGGUACCGUAAGAAUAAGCACCGGCUAACUACGUG
This 482-nucleotide ribosomal RNA is filed under the name uncultured bacterium. Its description in RNAcentral is "partial 16S ribosomal RNA". It matches the Rfam family "Bacterial small subunit ribosomal RNA", at positions 30 to 507 of the family's 1533-position model. The record is from RNAcentral.